AUUGAACGCUGGCGGCAGGCCUAACACAUGCAAGUCGAACGGUAACAGGAAGAAGCUUGCUUCUUUGCUGACGAGUGGCGGACGGGUGAGUAAUGUCUGGGAAACUGCCUGAUGGAGGGGGAUAACUACUGGAAACGGUAGCUAAUACCGCAUAAUGUCGCAAGACCAAAGAGGGGGACCUUCGGGCCUCUUGCCAUCGGAUGUGCCCAGAUGGGAUUAGCUAGUAGGUGGGGUAACGGCUCACCUAGGCGACGAUCCCUAGCUGGUCUGAGAGGAUGACCAGCCACACUGGAACUGAGACACGGUCCAGACUCCUACGGGAGGCAGCAGUGGGGAAUAUUGCACAAUGGGCGCAAGCCUGAUGCAGCUAUGCCGCGUGUAUGAAGAAGGCCUUCGGGUUGUAAAGUACUUUCAGCGGGGAGGAAGGGAGUAAAGUUAAUACCUUUGCUCAUUGACGUUACCCUCAGAAGAAGCACCGGCUAACUCCGUG
This 490-nucleotide ribosomal RNA is filed under the name uncultured bacterium. Its description in RNAcentral is "partial 16S ribosomal RNA". It matches the Rfam family "Bacterial small subunit ribosomal RNA", at positions 30 to 507 of the family's 1533-position model. The record is from RNAcentral.